CGGGAGGCAGCAGUGAGGAAUAUUGGACAAUGGACGAAAGUCUGAUCCAGCUAUGCCGCGUGCAGGAUGACGGCCCUAUGGGUUGUAAACUGCUUUUAUACAGGAAGAAAAACUCCGACGUGUCGGAACUUGACGGUACUGUAAGAAUAAGGAUCGGCUAACUCCGUGCCAGCAGCCGCGGUAAUACGGAGGAUCCAAGCGUUAUCCGGAAUCAUUGGGUUUAAAGGGUCCGUAGGCGGUUUUUUAAGUCAGAGGUGAAAUCCUGCAGCUCAACUGUAGAAUUGCCUUUGAUACUGAAAGACUUGAGUUAUUGUGAAGUGGUUAGAAUGUGUGGUGUAGCGGUGAAAUGCAUAGAUAUCACACAGAAUACCAAUUGCGAAGGCAGAUCACUAACAAUAUACUGACGCUCAGGGACGAAAGCGUGGGUAGCGAACAGGAUUAGAUACCCUGGUAGUCCACGCCGUAAACGAUGGAUACUAGCUGUAUGUCUACUUCAGGUAGAUGUGUGGCUAAGCGAAAGUGAUAAGUAUCCCACCUGGGGAGUACGAUCGCAAGAUUGAAACUCAAAGGAAUUG
RNAcentral lists this ribosomal RNA (575 nucleotides) under uncultured bacterium. Its description in RNAcentral is "bacterial SSU rRNA". It matches the Rfam family "Bacterial small subunit ribosomal RNA", at positions 342 to 912 of the family's 1533-position model. The record is from RNAcentral.